Molecule: ribosomal RNA, 545 nt
Filed under: uncultured bacterium
Lineage: Bacteria
Description: partial 16S ribosomal RNA
Rfam family: Bacterial small subunit ribosomal RNA
Source: RNAcentral
UGGGGAAUUUUGGACAAUGGGCGAAAGCCUGAUCCAGCAAUGCCGCGUGUGUGAAGAAGGCCUUCGGGUUGUAAAGCACUUUUGUCCGGAAAGAAAUCCUCUGGGUUAAUACCUCGGGGGGAUGACGGUACCGGAAGAAUAAGCACCGGCUAACUACGUGCCAGCAGCCGCGGUAAUACGUAGGGUGCAAGCGUUAAUCGGAAUUACUGGGCGUAAAGCGUGCGCAGGCGGUUUUGUAAGACGGAUGUGAAAUCCCCGGGCUUAACCUGGGAACUGCAUUCGUGACUGCAAGGCUAGAGUAUGGCAGAGGGGGGUAGAAUUCCACGUGUAGCAGUGAAAUGCGUAGAGAUGGUGGAGGAAUACCGAUGGCGAAGGCAGCCCCCUGGGCCAAUACUGACGCUCAUGCACGAAAGCGUGGGGAGCAAACAGGAUUCAGAUACCCUGGUAGUCCACGCCCUAAACGAUGUCAACUAGUUGUUGGGGAUUCAUUUCCUUAGUAACGUAGCUAACGCGUGAAGUUGACCGCCUGGGGAGUACGGUCGCAA